RNAcentral lists this ribosomal RNA (253 nucleotides) under uncultured bacterium. RNAcentral's name for it is "partial 16S ribosomal RNA". It matches the Rfam family "Bacterial small subunit ribosomal RNA", at positions 524 to 776 of the family's 1533-position model. The record is from RNAcentral.
UACGUAGGGGGCAAGCGUUGUCCGGAAUCAUUGGGCGUAAAGCGCGCGUAGGCGGCCCGAUAAGUCCGCUGUAAAAGUCAACGGCUCAACUGUUGAACGCCGGUGGAUACUGUCGGGCUAGAGUCCGGAAGAGGAGAGUGGAAUUCCUGGUGUAGCGGUGAAAUGCGCAGAUAUCAGGAAGAACACCCGUGGCGAAGGCGGCUCUCUGGGACGGUACUGACGCUGAGACGCGAAAGCGUGGGGAGCGAACAGG